UUGCAUCGAUGAAGAACGCAGCGAAAUGCGAUACCUAGUGUGAAUUGCAGAAUUCCGCGAAUCAUCGAGUUUUUGAACGCAAGUUGCGCCCGAGGCUCGUACCGAGGGCAUGUCUGUCUGAGCGUCCA
Molecule: ribosomal RNA, 128 nt
Filed under: Frullania sp. 4 AAV-2018
Lineage: Eukaryota; Viridiplantae; Streptophyta; Jungermanniopsida; Porellales; Frullaniaceae
Description: partial 5.8S ribosomal RNA
Rfam family: 5.8S ribosomal RNA
About the family: 5.8S ribosomal RNA (5.8S rRNA) is a component of the large subunit of the eukaryotic ribosome. It is transcribed by RNA polymerase I as part of the 45S precursor that also contains 18S and 28S rRNA.
Source: RNAcentral